AACGCACAUUGCGCCCUGUGGUAUUCCACAGGGCAUGCCUGUUUGAGCGUCAUUUCUCCUUCAAGCUUUCUAGUUUGGACUUGGGCGUGGGGGUACAUACCCUGCCCGAAAUAGUGGGUGGGAGCAGCUUGCUGUAGUUGACGCCAAUGAGUUAGGUUCUGCCAGUUCGUUGGAAAGACUAGGGGAGGUUGUUGCCGAUAACAAGCCCAUAUACAAAAAAUUGACCUCAAAUCAGGUAGGACUACCCGCUGAACUUAA
This 258-nucleotide unclassified non-coding RNA is filed under the name uncultured Barnettozyma. Its description in RNAcentral is "sequence contains ITS2". The stretch from base 1 to 52 matches the Rfam family "5.8S ribosomal RNA", at positions 103 to 154 of the family's 154-position model. The record is from RNAcentral. Lineage: Eukaryota; Fungi; Ascomycota; Saccharomycetes; Phaffomycetales; Phaffomycetaceae.